UAGGUAGGGUCGGGACCGGGGUACGGGGUAGGUAAACGGUAACCGGUCGGGGUCGGGAACCCUAACCGGUCCGGUCCGUUACGUAACGGGGAAGGGGUAAACUAAACCUUAACGUUAAAGUAAAAGGUUAGGGUCGUAACUUAAACCGUACCCGACUAAACGGUAACGGGAAGCCGCAUGGCUUUUCCUGAAAACUCCGGUGGUACAGGAUGGGCCCGCGUCUGAUUAGCCAGUUGGCAGGGUAACGGCCUACCAAAGCGACGAUCAGUGCCGGCCUGAGAGGGCGGACGGCCACACUGGGACUGAGACACGGCCCAGACUCCUACGGAAGGCAGCAG
This 338-nucleotide ribosomal RNA is filed under the name uncultured bacterium. RNAcentral's name for it is "bacterial SSU rRNA". The stretch from base 35 to 334 matches the Rfam family "Bacterial small subunit ribosomal RNA", at positions 59 to 350 of the family's 1533-position model. The record is from RNAcentral.